CGGACGGGUGAGUAAUGCCUAGGAAUCUGCCUGGUAGUGGGGGACAACGUUUCGAAAGGAACGCUAAUACCGCAUACGUCCUACGGGAGAAAGCAGGGGACCUUCGGGCCUUGCGCUAUCAGAUGAGCCUAGGUCGGAUUAGCUAGUUGGUGAGGUAAUGGCUCACCAAGGCGACGAUCCGUAACUGGUCUGAGAGGAUGAUCAGUCACACUGGAACUGAGACACGGUCCAGACUCCUACGGGAGGCAGCAGA
Molecule: ribosomal RNA, 253 nt
Filed under: uncultured Pseudomonas sp.
Lineage: Bacteria; Pseudomonadati; Pseudomonadota; Gammaproteobacteria; Pseudomonadales; Pseudomonadaceae
Description: partial 16S ribosomal RNA
Rfam family: Bacterial small subunit ribosomal RNA
Source: RNAcentral